GCUUCCAUGGUUUCUUCCUUCUAGUCUCAGCUAAAACCCCAACCUCUACAGAAAGCCUUUCUUCAUCCCUUUUGUUGCUGAUGUCUUCCCUCUAGGAUCAGUUGUUGAAAAUUUGGGCCUAAUGAGCUAUUGGGAAUUUUUUAACAUCAUGUUUAAAUGGCAAUUACUAGCACCCAUUUCCGAUGAAAAUAUCACAGUGACUGACACAAUAGUUAAUGAUGUCCUAGUGCGCUAUUUUGUGCCAAAGAAGAAAUCACAUGAGCUGAAACGAGCAAUUAUGUAUUACCAUGGAGGAGGUGUUAGUUUUAGUAGCAUUGCCUUUCUCCAAUAUGACACUUUUGCAAGACUGGCAGCAAACAGGCUGGAUGCUGUUAUUGUAGGACCUGAGUAAGAAAAUUUUCAAUAGUUCUUUUGGAUAUAUUUAAUGUUAUUUUGGAUUGUGAUCACAUUGUGAUGAAUUCGGCCAAUGUACAAAUGACCCACAUCCCAUAUGAUUCCUGACCCAACCUUUUUCAUACCUGGGGAAUUGGUAUACCACACUAUUUAUGGAUGAGAUUAUAUUUGGUGAUCAUGAAUGCAAAGGUUGGCACUUGUUCCAAUUCUAUUAUUUUCCAGAUGAGAAAAUUUGGGCCCAGUCAGUGAAUGUGAUUUUCUCAAGAUUACAUAGAAAAGCUGGGAUUUCAGCUCAGAUUCUCUAGUUUUUAUCACACCACACCAUACUACCACCAACUCUUUGAAACAGGUAUUAAAUAUAAAUAUCAAUUGUCAUCACCAUCAUUAUCCUAUUUCAGUCCUUAUUAUGUUAAAUAUUUACCAACAUGCCACUGGAUGGAGUUUAUCUGGACUUAGUAAAUUGAGACUAGGAAAACUAAUUACUCUUUUAUAUCAAACUACUUCAUUUAAGUUUUAAAAUGCCUAUUAACCACAUUUAUUCAAAGCUGGAUGACAAAUGUCUUUUUUAAAAAAGAAGUCUUAUUUCAAAAAGGGCCAAUAAUCCUGAUUUUUGUCUCUGCAAAAAUUUUAGAAUGAAAAGUUUUGCCAUUCUCUUCCAGAACAUCCCACACUUUGAGUAUAACCAAAAGUUUCUUGGCCAGGACUAAAAGAUAAACAAUGCAUAUUCAAUAAUGUUUCUUUCAAAGUGUUCCUUGCUAUCUAUACUUUCUGGGAUGUGAAUUUGAAUAAGGAAUUGGGAUCCUCAUUCUUUCAUGAAUGCUUGCUACUUACUAUAAAUCAACUCUUUUGGCCAACUAAUUCUUAAGGAUAGAAGAAGAGGGAUAUUAGUGGGAGGGAAAAUUUUUCCUAUUUUGAGUUAUGAAAGAAUUAAGUUGAAAUAAGCAUAUUUCAUAAUUUAAUUUGAAACUGAAUUUAAUUGAAGGAAAUUAAUUUAAUUUGAAUGUGUUAGGAACAUGCCUAUAAAAGGCGAUUUACUUUCUUAUGGAACUGUGCCUUUAAGGAAUUGUUAAAUACAUUUAUCCUUCCCUGUGGGCCCUAUAAUUUGAAUUUGUGACAUUUUUCUAUAAUUUGUUCUAGAUCAGUAGUGCCAUAUUGAAAUAAAAAUGGGGCCACUAAGAUAUACAUAAGAAUCCCUGCAGGCCACAUGAUAACUCAGAAAACAACCUAUUGGGAUGUAAGGGUCAUUUGGCUGUGACAUCUGUUAUUCCAUUGAUCUUGAAAGUUGAUUCAGCUGAUGUGGAUAGCUAGGUGAUGUUCCCUUCCUCCCUCACCACUCCAUAUGCAUCUCUCCCAAAGUGUGGACUCAAUUUAAGAGGACAAUCUUCUCCAAUUCUUCUUUCUUCUUUCAAUGACUUUCUUCAGUCAAGGGUAUAUGAGUAGAUGCACUUCCCUACUAGAUCAAGUUCUCAAGAUUUAUUUGUAAGAGAACCUAGGCUGGGGCAGCUAGGUGGCGCAGUGGAUAGAGCAACAACCCUGAAGUCAGGAGGACCUGAGUUCAAAUUUGAACCCUGGGCAAAUCACUUAACCCCAACUGCCUCAGCAAAAAAAAAAAAAGAAAAAAGAAAAGAAAACAAAGAAAGAAAAAGAAAAAGAAAGGAAAGAAAGAAAGAGAAAUGUUCUAUUCUAAUUUUAUUUGUUGAUUGAAUAUUUCCCAAUUACAUUUUAAUUUUAUUUAUACAACACUUUCAUUGUUGCCCUCUCUUCUAUAAGAUCAUAUAGCAAACCAGAAGCUACAUAGCAAUGGAGUCCAAGUGUUCCAUGAACACAUUGAGAAAGGAUUCUGUGGAUCUUUCUUCUCCAUUCAUUGGAGAAUGAAUAAAAAAGAGUAUAAAAAUUGUUUUAAGCUCUAAACAAAAAUUAUUGCAAAAACAAUUAUUUUAAUUGUAUAGAAAUUAGCGGAAAAGACAACUAAAUAAAUAUUAUUCAACUGCAGAUAGUCAACUGUUCCUUUCCCAUCCUGGAAAUUUCCUUCUUGUCAGAAUAAUUUGAAUACAUUUGAAAUUUGUUUCUUUGACAUGACUGACACUUUCAAGGUGCCUGGGGCUACCUUUGGACUUUUCAGGAUGAUCCUCUUGAUCUCAAGUCCCAUAUUGUCUCAACAGAAUGUAACCUGCCCAGGGAAAGAUAACAUUUCAUCUUUGACAAUAUAUCCUCAUCACUAAGCACAAUGCCUGGUACAAAAACAAGUGUUUCAUAAAGACAUGUUAAAUCAAAACCUUUAUUUCCUCCCUAAAUAAAUAUAAUUAUAAUAUAAUAGGUAUUAGGAAGUUGGGAAUCAAUGGAUAGAAUUUCUUUUUGGAGGCGAUUUUCAUGGACUCCAUCUCUUCUAGAAUGGAAAGUUUUGCUGUAAUAGCAUAGAAGCACCUAGAGCAAAAUGUUAAAUGCCUUCUUAUUCUUCUUUUUUGGGCAGCUAAGUGGUACAAUCAUUAGAAUGGCUGGCCUGAAGUCAAAUCUAACCUCAGACACUUAAUAGUUUUGUGAUCCUAAGCAAGUCACCUUACCCUUUUUACCUCAGUUUCCUCAUCUGUAAAAUGAGCUGGAGAUGGAAAUAGCACACCAUUCUAGCAUCUUUGUCAAGAAUACCCCAAAUGGGGUCAUGAAGAGUCAUACAUGACUGAACAACAACAUUUUUCUUUUAAAGCUUUCGAAAAUUUCCUAAAUAUCUCCAUCCAACUCAGUGGAAUGAUGCUUAUAAUUUUGUGAAGUCUUUCCUACAACCUGAAAAUCUUGCCAAAUAUGGUGUGGAUCCAAAUAGAAUCUGUUUUUUAGGAGAUAGUUCUGGUGGUGGUGUGGCAACAUCUAUGGUCCAACAGGUCAUGAGUGACCCUGAAAUUACCAUUAAACCUAAAAUUCAGGUUUUAAUUUACCCCGGCUUGCAGAUGCUUGAUACAGACUUGCCAUCCUAUAGGGAAAAUGAAUUUGGCAUAAUGUUGACUAAGGCCAUAGCAAUAAAAUUGAUGAGUGAGUAUCAUACUCCUGAUGAAUCCCUUAAGCAAGCCAUGAAGAUUAACCAACAUAUACCUGUUGAAUAUAGCCAUCUCUUCAAAUUUAUUAACUGGAGUAUCCUGCUUCCUGAGAGGUUUAAAAAAGGCCAUGUGUAUAACAACAGAAUUUAUGGAAGUUCUGAAAUGGUAGAAAAGUUUCCAGGGAUUGUAGAUCCUAAAAUAAGCCCAUUAUUGGCCAAUGAUUCAAUAUUGAGUCUUCUACCACUAACUUACUUACUCACAUGUCAAUAUGAUGUCUUAAGAGAUGAUGGGCUCAUGUAUGUUUCCCGUCUACGCAGCAAUGGAGUCCAAGUGUUCCAUGAACACAUUGAAAAAGGAUUCCAUGGAUCUCUCUUCUCCAUUCAUUGGCCAUAUAAUUUAGAUAUUGGUUGGAAAUUAAUAAAUAAUAUACUUGCUUGGAUAAAUGAGAAUUUAUAGUUCUUGCACAUACACAUAUGACCUGUAUCAAAUUGCUAACCUCAAGGAGGAGACAUGGGAAGAAGGGAGGGAGGAAAUCUGGAAUUCAAAAUAUUUUGAAAACAAAUAUUUUUUAAAUGUAUGUGUCAUUGGAAAAAAAAAUAUACGGUUCCUGUAUCAUGUAAAAAUAAAAAUAGUCACUGGAUAACAUGUAGUCCCCAAUUUAUAUAUGUUGUAUAUUCUAAAAUCUGACUUGUGAAUCAUUUCUUUGUAAUUCAGGAGAUAUUUUCUCUCAAAAAUAAUUGUGUUUAUAGCUAUUAGGCCUUUCUCAUGACCAACACCAAUCCCUCUAUUUGUAUCCCUCUUAUCUAAUGCUAUCCAAUGUCAUUCACCUUUCUCUUAAUCUUUAGUUUCUCCCUAUUAACUCUUUUGCUAUUGCCUAUGAUCAUAGCCAGUCUUCCACAUCUUUUAAAUCUUGAGUGUUGGUUCUGAUACCUACUAGCAAUGAGAUCAUAGGCAAAUGACUAAUUCUUAAGAAAACCCUCCAUAUUGGGAGCAAUUUGGAACUAUGCUCAAAAAAUUAUCAAACUGUACAUACCCUUUGAUCCAGCAGUGUUUCUAUUGGGCUUAUACCCCAAAGAGAUACUAAAGAAAGGAAAGGGACCUGUAUGUGCCAAAAUGUUUGUGGCAGCCCUGUUUGUAGUGGCUAGAAACUGGAAAAUGAAAGGAUGCCCAUCAAUUGGAGAAUGGCUGGGUAAAUUGUGGUAUAUGAAUGUUAUGGAAUAUUAUUGUUCUGUAAGGAAUGACCAGCAGGAUGAAUACAGAGAGGACUGGCGAGACUUACAUGAACUGAUGCUGAGUGAAAUGAGCAGAACCAGGAGAUCAUUAUAUACCUCAACAACGAUACUGUUUGAGAAUGUAUUCUGAUGGAAGUGGAUCUCUUCGAUAGAGAGCCUUAAUUGAUCAAAGAUGGACAGAAGCAGCUACACCCAGAGAAAGAACACUGGAAAUGAAUAUAAACUGCUUGCAUUUUUGUUUUUCUUCCCGGGUUAUUUCUACCUUCUGAAUUCAAUUCUCCCUGUGCAACAAGAAAACUGUUCGGUUCUGUACACAUAUAUUGUAUCUAGGAUAUAUUGCAACCCAUUCAACAUGUAAAGGACUGCUUGCCAUCUGGGGGAAGAGGUGGAGGGAGGGAGGGGAAAAAUUGGAACAGAAGUGAGUGCAAGGGAUAAUGUUGUAAAAAAUUACCCUGGCAUGUGUUCUAUCAAUAAAAAGUUAUUUAAAAAACAAAAAAACAAAAACAAAAACAAAAACAAAAAAAAGACCCUCCAUAUUGGGAAGAUAAUCCUGCUGCCUUACAUGAAAAUUUAUGCCUAGUAUUGAUUUUUAUUUCUCCAUUUGGUAAAUUAUAGUGAAUCUAAGUUAGUAAUAUAACCCACUAUGCUGUUGUUCUUUGUCCUUCAUUUUCAAAGAGGACCAGUAAUAUCAUGGGUGAUGUCUUGACUUGUGAAUUGUAUUUAAGUGAGGCAGAGUUGCACAAAGUCAUCAACCUUAAUCUCUUUUCCUGAGUCCAGUGGGAACACAAAAGUAAAGAUGAUUGGCCAUGGCCCAAAAUGCAGUGGAUAACCUCUUUGUCUUCAAUGCCAGAUUAAGCUCUAAGUGCCCCCACAGCACCUAAUUCACAGCCGUUGGAACAAAUUGUUCUAAUUUGCUGGUCUUCAACAUGCUUGGGAUAGCCACCCCCCUAACUCACCAACAGAUUUGGGAGCUGUUGUUUAUUCUCAGUCUGGUUCAGCUUUUCUCCUAAGAUGGUUUACAAGAGUGUGGACAUUGAACAUGCUACAGAUUCUUGGAGCCACAAGUAAAAGUUAGGUGAAGGUAGACCCCAAAGGAAGAUGAGCAGCCCUGAUAAAGGCUUAGCAAGUCCUCACACCUGAGGUUCUGUCCUUCCUAUAUACCUCAACCUACUGUACUACGCUGCUGUAAGGAUGAGGUGAUUGAUUUCCACAACCCCACCCUACAUCAAGUAACUGAUCAUAAAUCCAUCAAUCAAUUUCAAUCAUAUAAGCUUUCAUAUAUAAGCCUUGGAUUAAGUGUGAAAUGUUCUUAAAAAUGAAAUGAAAUUGUACAAGAAUCUUUUUAAAACAGUCCUAACUUGGCCAUACCUCAGUUAUUUUUGAUAAAUUAUCAACAAUUGAAAAACAAUGCCUGGAGAUAUCCCUUAGUGACUUGAAGGUAGCUGGGGCCUUGGGAAUCAAAAACCCUACCUAUUUUCUUUUGGAUGGCGAAUGAACUUGUGGAAGAAUGAGUCACACAUCAGCUAUUCUUACUAUAUCUUCUUCAAUCAAACUUUCCAAAAGGAUGCUUCAAGAUAUCUGGAUAAAUUGAGUCUCACCUGGUAGUAUUAAUGACAUUUUCUCUAAAGGGUCCUCUUCUAUCCCUGAGUUUCAGUUUCCCUUUUGAUAAAAAUGAAAACCCACUAAAGCCCAAAUCAUGUACUUGGCUUGGUCCUUCUGACUCCAGGGCCAGUGCUCUUUCUACUGUGCCAUCUUGCUGCCCCUCUAGAAUGGAUUUCAUCUCUGAAUAAAAACCUCAAGGACACGUGAAUUCAUCUAGAAGGCUACUUCCUCUAAUGAUGUAGUUCCUAGCCCUUACAAUAUGACUGAAGCAGCUUAUCUGGGAACAAUCAUAAUCCUGAUGAAGUCCAAGCUUCUACAUAUGAGUUUUUCUCACCUUAACCAGGCUGGUCUUCUAGAGCAAACUGAAACCGGUUGAACCUCUAUUGAAUUUAAUAAUAAUAUUUGCCUUCCUUUUGGGGUGCUCUUUGAUGAUUCUGGGUCACCUCCCUACUGUGAGUUAAUAUCACAAAAGGAUUUCUGGAAAGGAUCUCUGAAUGGAGUGUCUUCGAAUCUCUGCUGUAGGCAACAAAUGGUAACUGAAAAAAAUCAAGAGAAGUAGGGAAAUGUAGAAAAAUUAUUUUUCAAGAGAUGUCAUGCCUUCCCACUGCUUCAGCAUAUGAAUGAAAUUGUGGGAAAAUGCUUCCCAGAGAGAUUAAGGUAACUGGCCCACGGACACACAGCUAGUGAAUAUCUGAGGUUUUGAGGCAUCUGAGAUGAGAAUAUCCUGAGCAAAUCCCUCCAUUGCACCAUGUUGACUCGCAGCACAACUGAGGCAAAGACAAGUCAGCAGAACCUGGAAAAUGAUGUAGACAUUGACUGCAACAUUGUAAAUAGAAAUACCAGCACCAAAAAGAUAGGAGAAAUUGAAUACACUGAAACUGAAAUGGCCAAGCAGGACCCCAAGAAAUGGGGUAAGAGGAAUUUUUCUCCCUGUCCUAUACCAAUAUCAUUGCAGGUAUGGAAGACUAUGGGUGUGGAGGGCAAAUGUAAAUCAAUAUUUUCAAUGUAUAAGCUGAUUUUGGUCAAUGUCAUUUUUUUCCUCUCUUUUUUAUUCUUUAAUGUUCCAUGAGGUUCAGCCAGAAGUGUGGGAACAGUUGGAGGAUCAGGGGAAUAGAGUGAGAAACCUAAAUAUAUAUAUCAAUAUAAUUUUAUUACAAUAAAAAUGUUGUUAUUUUCCGAUUAAUCAAAAACAUGUUUUUAAUAGCAAAACAAUGAAAAGUUCAUGUUUCAGUAUGGGGUCGAUCAGACAAUUAUCACAGAAAAGGGAAAAGUCACUGUAGCCUUCACUAUUGCCUGAGACACUGCUGCCACCUCAUGGUAGAGUUCCCAGAAGACACUAUUUGUAUGCUGUUGCCAUAUUGUAAUGAAUAAACAUAAAUUCUGG
Antechinus flavipes (yellow-footed antechinus) is the source of this 7637-nucleotide long non-coding RNA. RefSeq lists it as uncharacterized. Lineage: Eukaryota; Metazoa; Chordata; Mammalia; Dasyuromorphia; Dasyuridae. The record is from RefSeq and is a predicted model, not a curated record. The transcript has 4 exons.